GGAAUCUUGCACAAUGGACGAAAGUCUGAUGCAGCGACGCCGCGUGGGGGAUGAAGGCCCUAGGGUCGUAAACCCCUUUCAGUGGGGACGAAAAUGACGGUACCCACAGAAGAAGGUCCGGCCAACUACGUGCCAGCAGCCGCGGUAAGACGUAGGGACCGAGCGUUGUCCGGAAUUAUUGGGCGUAAAGAGCUCGUAGGCGGUUGCGUAAGUCGGAUGUGAAAGCUCAGGGCUCAACCCUGAGACGCCAUCCGAUACUGCGCUGACUUGAAACCAGUAGGGGAGUGUGGAAUUCCUGGUGUAGCGGUGAAAUGCGCAGAUAUCAGGAGGAACACCAAUGGCGAAGGCAGCCUUCUGGGCCUGUACUGACGCUGAGGAGCGAAAGCGUGGGGAGCAAACAGGAUUAGAUACCCCCGUAGUCC
RNAcentral lists this ribosomal RNA (422 nucleotides) under uncultured prokaryote. RNAcentral describes it as "bacterial SSU rRNA". It matches the Rfam family "Bacterial small subunit ribosomal RNA", at positions 358 to 796 of the family's 1533-position model. The record is from RNAcentral.